GGAGUCUUAGCUCAGUGGUAGAGCAACCGGCUGCAGUCCGGUAGGUCUCGUGUUCAAUCCACGAAGGCUCCU
Molecule: non-coding RNA, 72 nt
Organism: Cercophora sp. LCS_1
Lineage: Eukaryota; Fungi; Ascomycota; Sordariomycetes; Sordariales; Lasiosphaeriaceae
Source: the annotation of a GenBank genome assembly